UAGGGAAUCUUCGGCAAUGGACGAAAGUCUGACCGAGCAACGCCGCGUGAGUGAAGAAGGUUUUCGGAUCGUAAAACUCUGUUGUUAGAGAAGAACAAGGACGUUAGUAACUGAACGUCCCCUGACGGUAUCUAACCAGAAAGCCACGGCUAACUACGUGCCAGCAGCCGCGGUAAUACGUAGGUGGCAAGCGUUGUCCGGAUUUAUUGGGCGUAAAGCGAGCGCAGGCGGUUUCUUAAGUCUGAUGUGAAAGCCCCCGGCUCAACCGGGGAGGGUCAUUGGAAACUGGGAGACUUGAGUGCGGAAGAGGAGAGUGGAAUUCCAUGUGUAGCGGUGAAAUGCGUAGAUAAAUGGAGGAACACCAGUGGCGAAGGCGGCUCUCUGGUCUGUAACUGACGCUGAGGCUCGAAAGCGUGGGGAGCAAACAGG
RNAcentral lists this ribosomal RNA (429 nucleotides) under Gemmatimonadota bacterium. Its description in RNAcentral is "Gemmatimonadetes bacterium partial 16S ribosomal RNA". It matches the Rfam family "Bacterial small subunit ribosomal RNA", at positions 355 to 776 of the family's 1533-position model. Lineage: Bacteria; Pseudomonadati; Gemmatimonadota. The record is from RNAcentral.